GUGAGUGACUGGGUGCAAUGCUGAGCCUUACUCCAGUCUGGGGACUGUGAACUCACACUCCUUGAAUUGAUAUCUGAGCCGCUCCCUGCGGAGCUUUAACUAAACGAGGUCCCUCUCUGGCUUCGGAAAAAAAAGCCCCUCCAUGUUCCCAAGGCUAUUUAUGGGAAGGACAAAUGUAAGUAAUGACAGGAAUCCCUUUGCAAAGAACUUCCAAUCUGACUUUAGCCCGGGAAAAGCUGCUGGUACUGGCUGCAAUUGCACUGUGCCUCAUCGAUUCAGGACAAUCCAGGGGGAAUUCUGAUCACAUCAGUUUCUGGAUUUCUUCAUAUCCAGGACUUCGGACUUCCCUGUGCAAAAUGUCCAAACAGCCUUCCUCCACUGUCAAAGCCUUGCAGGCCAACCUCAAUAUCCCGAUGGGGGCUCUCC
Non-coding RNA from Lepisosteus oculatus (spotted gar), 426 nucleotides. Lineage: Eukaryota; Metazoa; Chordata; Actinopteri; Semionotiformes; Lepisosteidae. The record is from RefSeq and is a predicted model, not a curated record.